CGCAGGGAGGCGCGGGGCGAGCGGAGCGGAACGCCCCGCUCGGCCCCCUGUGCCGCCCCGGCCCCGCUCCUCGCCGCGGGCUCCGCGUUCCGGUGAAGAAAUCGGCCUUCCCGUGGCCUCCUCGGGAAACGGGCCGGCUCGCCGAGACGGCAGUUUAGUCACCUUACAUGUACUGGAGCAACAUAGCUAAGCUGACUUACACUUGCAUCACUACCCUGAACCUAAUUGCGUCUGCAGUCAUCUGGAACUGACCACAUGCCUGGACUGAUAAAAGAUGGCAUGCAAACAUGGAUCUCUCUGGGGCUGUGGCAAGGGAUUUAUUGGCUCCCUGAGAACAGUGGAAGAGUUUCUGUCCUGACCCACAACAUGAUGGAUGUUCAGACAAGAGGUUUCAGGAAUAGCACAACAGCAGUUCUGUGGGCAGUAGACAUAAUAGAAGACAGAUGCUUUUGCGGUAUCCUGUCUCUCUAUUGCCUGGACCUCUGGAAGACAGAAGAGUGAGAAUCAGCAGUGAUCGUUUUCCUGCAAACGCAAUUUGAGGAACUACUUUGACAACCGAUAGAAAAACAACUACCUUGCAGCAUGACCACAGCAAGUGCAUUUUCUUUCUGACAAUGUAUAAUUGCACUGUGUCCCUGGUGAGGAAUGAUGCCAGAAUGGCCAUCUGAUUAUCUGUAUUCAUUUCUCAUACUGUAACCAAGUUGUUUAUUUUCCACAAAUGUUCAUGCAAAAAUGCAGGGAUUCUCCAUGUAGAAUAAAGUAGGCCUACAAAGUAAGGAAGGACUGGUA
RNAcentral lists this long non-coding RNA (789 nucleotides) under Apteryx owenii (little spotted kiwi). RNAcentral describes it as "lncRNA (ENSAOWG00000004571.1)". Lineage: Eukaryota; Metazoa; Chordata; Aves; Apterygiformes; Apterygidae. The record is from RNAcentral.